RNAcentral lists this ribosomal RNA (566 nucleotides) under Arocera apta. Its description in RNAcentral is "partial large subunit ribosomal RNA". It matches the Rfam family "Bacterial large subunit ribosomal RNA", at positions 1792 to 2619 of the family's 2925-position model. The record is from RNAcentral. Lineage: Eukaryota; Metazoa; Arthropoda; Insecta; Hemiptera; Pentatomidae.
UUUCGCCCUGUUUUAAAAAAACAUGUCUUAAUGAUUAUUUUUAUAUUAAGUCUGGCCUGCUCAAUGAUUGAAUAAUAAAUUAAAUAGCCGCAGUAUUUUAACUGUGCGAAGGUAGCAUAAUCAUUUGUCUUUUAAUUGGAGGCUUGAAUGAAUGGUUGAAUGAGGGAAUAACUUUCUUUAUAUUAAUAGUUGAAUUUAAUAUUUGAGUUAAAAAGCUUAAAUAAUUAAAUGGGACGAGAAGACCCUAUAGAAUUUUAUUUUAUUAGAUAUAAUUUAAUUUAUGGUAUUCAAUUAUUUUUAUUUUUUUUAAAAUUUUGUUGGGGUGACAUUGAGAUUUUUGAAACUCUCAUAUUUAAUAAUUUACAUAUUAGUAUUUUAAGGAUCCUAUUUUAAGGAUAGUUAGAUUAAAUUACCUUAGGGAUAACAGCGUAAUUUUUCUGGAGAGUUCUUAUCGAUAGAGAAGUUUGCGACCUCGAUGUUGGAUUAAAAUUAGAUUUUAGUGCAGAAGCUAAAUUUCUAGGUCUGUUCGACCUUUAAAGUUUUACAUGAUCUGAUUUUCAACCCGG